GUUACGACUCCCGUUACGACUCAUAUGAUCGCCCUUCUCACAUUCAUCUGGUGCUGCAUCAGCGAGGGAAGGCGUAGAAUCCUGCCAUGGCUGCUUCAAUUCUGUCUUCCAUUGCAGCGACGGCGAGCAGGCUCACAGCUCGGCUUCGAAGCUCCUCGCUUGCUUCCUCGUCCUCACCAUCAAGCCCACGCCUCACUGUCCAUGAAGAUCUCAAGCAUCUACAGAGGACGCUGCUUAGGAUCCAGUCCGUGCUCACCGAUGCGGAGGUGAGGGAGAUCCGGGAGGAGUCGGUGAAGCUCUGGCUGCGCGAACUCAAAGCGCUUGCUUAUGAUGCCGACGACGUGCUCGACGAGUACAACUACGAGCUGCUGCGGCCCCAAAUCGAAGUCAAAGUUGGUGCAUCAACCACCGGGAAGAGAAAGCGAGAUGAGGGGAGCGAUUCGACGGCUGUCCUAGCUGGACUAGCGGACAGGAUCAAGCGGAUCAGGGAGAGAUUCGAUGAGAUAGCAAGGGAGCGGGAGGCCCUCCACCUGAAGGAAGAAGACGGAGAGAGAAGGCAGGCCACGGUGAGUAAGCCUCUCCCUACGAGCUCCCUUGUGGAUGAUUCGAGUGUUUAUGGCAGGCAGGUGGACAGGAAGAAGUUAGUCAAUUUACUGCUAUCGGAACGUGGUGGAGACAAGGUUUCAGUGCUUGCCAUCGUCGGCAUGGGAGGCAUUGGUAAAACGACACUUGCCCAAUAUGUUUAUAACCAUCAUAAGGUCUGUACCCAUUUUGACAUCAGGGUAUGGAUCUAUGUCUCGGUUGAUUUUGAUGUGAUAAGCAUCACAAGAACCAUAAUCAAAUUCAUUACUGGGAGUUCUUGUGAUGACAGUGAACUUGAUCUUCUUCAUUCGACUCUGACGAAGCUAUUAAACAAAAAAAGAUUCCUGCUUGUGCUAGAUGAUGUGUGGAAUGAGCUGCCAAGUCCAUGGGAAUCCUUAAGCUUCCCCAUGGCUUAUGCAUCGAGUACUAAAAUCAUGAUCACGACACAGAACGAAUCGGUUGCUCGGGUGAUGCAGACAAUGCCACCAUAUUACUUGGGUGCUUUGGAUGAUUACUCUUGUCAGUUGUUGUUUGAUAGAUAUGCAUUUAAGGACAAGGCACCGGGAUUGCCCAACACUCGGAUGACACUGGAAGGAAUCGGUCGUCAAACGGGAUUGUCCAACGCUCGGACGACACUGGAAAGAAUCGGUCGUCAAACGAGUUUGCUCAACACUCGGACGACACUGGAAGGAAUCGGUCGUCAAACGAGAUUGCCCAACACUCGGAUGACACUGGAAGGAAUCGGUCGUCAAACGGGAUUGCCCAACACUCGGACGACACUGGAAGGAAUUGGUCGUCAAAUUGUCCGAAAGUGCAAUGGCUUACCUUUGGCUGCUAAAACACUUGGAAGUCUUUUAAGCUUCGAAGAUGAUGAGGAGAAGUGGCAGGAUAUUCUAGAAAGUGAAUUGUGGGGAUUAUUUGAUGAAGGGAGAAAUGAGAUCUUCGCCGCUCUGAGAUUGAGCUAUUAUCGUAUGCCGACACACUUGAAGCAGUGUUUUGUGUACUUUUCCUUGUUCCCGAAAGGCUAUCUAUUUGAGAAAGAUCACAUAGUGAAGCUGUGGAUGGCACAGGGUUAUAUUCAACCCAGAAGGAGAAGCCGACUGGAAGAUGUGGGUGGUUCAUACUUUGAUGAGCUGCUACAAAGACAGUUUUUUCAAAUUUCAAAACUCAGUGAUGCUAAAGAUGAAAAUUAUGUGAUGCACGAUGUCAUUCAUGAUCUAGCAAAAUCUAUUGCAGGGGAGGAUUAUAUAAUCACUGAGGACCAUAAAUUAUCUGAUAUUUCUGAAGACGUGCUUCAUGCAACUCUUAUACCCAACAGCAAUGAUAAAAAAGUGCACAACAUCAGAACAGAGAGACACACGACGGUGCAGUUUCAGUUCUUGAAUGAGCCCAAACGUUUGCGUACCUUUGUGGUGCAUAAGUCCAAACAGUGGUUUCCAUCAAAAAGAAAUAUGUUGGAACAAACUCAAAAUAUUAUAUGUAUUGAGAUGCCAAAUGAUGUUUUCCAAAGUUUAAGGCUCUUCCGCACACUGGACUUGAGUUUUACUAUGAUUGAAAAAUUACCAGACUCAAUUGGCAAUUUGAUACACCUUCGCUACAUUGGUCUUCGGAGUACGAAUCUUCGACAUUUGCCUCAGUCAUUGUGUCAGUUAUAUAAUCUGCAAACAUUGGAUUUGAAGCACUGCGAGUUUCUUUCGGAUCUUCCUAGAGGCAUCGGGAACCUCAUUAAUCUAAGGCAUCUCAUUCUGCCAAUAUUGGAAGAUCUACAUGUCUGCAUUCCACCUGGACUCAGAAAGCUGACCAAUCUCCAGACAUUGCCAAUUUUCUAUAUAAAGCCAGAUAGAUUUCACUGUGGUGUAGAGGAGCUAAAGGAAUUGGUAAACCUCAGCUCUCUUCACAUAGUAGGUCCUUACAAGAUGGACGAGGAAUGGGGUCCUUGGUUGAAGAAUAUGAAAAACCUGCAGAACGUGAGGCUUCGCUGGUUUUCGUACGACUGUGGACCGUGUGGCUAUAGUGACGGUACCAAUCUGGAGAAUGGUGACAAGAUGCUACACAGUGAAAUUGGACUGAAACAGGAUGAUUCUUGGCAUAGGAUAGGUGCUGAAAAGCACGAGGCUGCAUGUUUCGUAGAGAAUCAGCGACGGAUGAGUUUGAUGGAAUUGGUUGUCGAGGGCUAUAAUGGACCGAGACUUCCGAGAUGGUUGGGUGAUCCGAGUUUUUCCAAGCUUGCUACCAUAAGACUAGAGCUCUGCAAUGAUAAGUGUAUCCUUCUCCCUUCGCUUGGCCAGCUUGUGUCACUGAAGCAUCUAUCCAUAGGAGGAAUGCAGAGGUUGCAGCGUGUUGACCGUGAAUUCUGGGGUGGUGGUAUGAUGGUUGGCAAGGGAUUCCAAGCGCUAGAGACACUUGAAUUCACAGAGAUGCCAGAGUGGGAGGAGUGGUGUGGGGAGGAUGGUGAAUUCCCUCAUCUCCGCGAGCUCACAAUUGGUGUCUGUCCAAAGCUGUUCAUGUUUGACUGCCUCCUUUUUCCUUCACUCGUCGAGCUGAAGAUAUACAACUGCGGAGAGUUGACUUCAAUUCCCAUAUGUCCCUCACUAAGUAGUCUCCUGUUGUGGGGGAAAUGUAACUUGGAGAUUUGGUUUCCAUCUCUAAACCUUCCCAAGCUCCAUCACUUGGUAGUUUCAAGCUCUCAGGGACUGAGAACUCUUCAUGUGCGUCAGAAUGUACCUGCACUCAGAACGCUGUGCGUCGACAACUGUCCAAAACUUUUAGAAGCCACUGGACUGCAUCAUCUUUCUUCCCUUGUAAGCUUACAGAUAUCCAAUUGCCCUCAGUUUUAUAUCAAAGAGAAACUUCCAUCCCAUGUUCAAGUAUUGUUAUAUCCAUCUGAGCAAAUGCAGAGAAGAAGCAUAUCAGUCUCCAGUGACAGAACUGAUAAUUACACACGGGAGGGGCCUUUGUUCUCUGGACUCUCUCUUGUUCUCUGAACUCUCUCGUUGACUACAAAUACCAGACUGCCACUUGGCAAAUAUGGCAAAGAUGGCUGCUGGGAAUGAAGCUUUUCAAGCAGGAAAUUAUAGGGAUGCACCGGAACAUGGUUCUGCUGCUUUAGCAUGCAACACCAUAUCACGUCCUUUUGCUGUAACAUGCUUCUGUAAUCCUCCUCCUGCUGCUUAUCAAGCCCUGGGACAGAUUAGACAUACCAUUGCAGAUUGCGGUGGCAUUAGCAAUCACAAUUGAUUCCAGUGAUCCAAAAAGUUGCUCGUUUGUUGACGAGUGAAACUAUUUUGCUGAUAAGCCUUGAAGAUAAAUACAAACAUUAAACAAUGUAACCAAGUAGUUCUUUCCGUAGCUUUACUUUGAGAUUGAUCUGAUUGUAUCUGAAUCUCUUUCAAAUAUUGGCUUGAACUCA
This is an RNA transcript of Musa acuminata AAA Group (dessert banana), 3991 nucleotides long. It is a transcript of the gene named putative disease resistance protein At3g14460, with no coding region annotated. Lineage: Eukaryota; Viridiplantae; Streptophyta; Magnoliopsida; Zingiberales; Musaceae. The transcript is spliced from 3 exons. The record is from RefSeq and is a predicted model, not a curated record.